This 383-nucleotide unclassified non-coding RNA is filed under the name fungal sp. RNAcentral describes it as "partial internal transcribed spacer region". The stretch from base 1 to 46 matches the Rfam family "Eukaryotic small subunit ribosomal RNA", at positions 1786 to 1831 of the family's 1831-position model. The record is from RNAcentral. Lineage: Eukaryota; Fungi.
AAGUCGUAACAAGGUUUCCGUAGGUGAACCUGCGGAAGGAUCAUUAACACGUAUCCAAACGUUAAAACACCCCCCUGAACCUUCAUCCUGCUCUUGUAACCCGCGUAGUUCGCAGUCUCUGAUAAAUCAUAGCCCGGAAAGUUGUAGUGAUUCAGAGAGCGGUAGUUCUAUAGGCAAUGUUUCCCCAAGCAGUCAGUGUCGGAAAGUGUGAUUGAUUGUGCAAGGAUAGCGCUUCUACGAUUCCAGUAGACCGUAAACACGGGCAGGAGCUUUGCCAAAGGGUCCCCAUGCCCCCUAAUAACCCCACAGUUUAAUGUGAAGCUCAAUGUAAUACAUUGGGUAAAAAAACCGAACAACUGUUAACAAUGGAUAUCUUGGUUCUC